Molecule: unclassified non-coding RNA, 1244 nt
Filed under: Hevea brasiliensis (rubber tree)
Lineage: Eukaryota; Viridiplantae; Streptophyta; Magnoliopsida; Malpighiales; Euphorbiaceae
Source: RNAcentral
UGACAAGAGUGUGGAUUACUGGCAGCAAGAUAAGUGGAGUGGGCAGUUCCCUGUGAAGUGGCAUAUUAUUAAAGAUGUCCCAAACAGUCAGUUCCGUCACAUUGUGUUGGAAAAUAAUGACAACAAACCUGUCACUAACAGUCGAGACACGCAGGAGGUAGGAAUUCCUUUCUGAGUAUAAGUGAUGGCAAUUACUUAUAUUUUUGUUGAUUUAGGGAUGACCUGGUAUUAAAUUGGCACACAUUUUUCGUAUCUUUACAGCAAUCCACCUAAAAAUAUAGCCCAUACUCCCCUUCAGGUUUCUUAAGCUUAUUGAAUACUCUCUCUACUUCUCUGAAAAAUCUCCUAAUCCAAAAGUUUUUCUCACUUUUUGUUUUUCACAUGUAAUCAUACUGUGUUUUUUACCAAUUUAUGCUAGAUAUUUAGAUUUUGUUUUUGCACAGAUAGAUAAUGUGCUUUUUGGCUGGAUGAACUUGCUUCAUGUAAUAGUUCUCAAUAAGAAUUUUCUUUCUUCUGCUUGUUUACGCCAAAAUAUCAAAUAUACAAUGUUGCAGGUGAAAUUGGAGCAGGGUGUUGAGAUGUUGAACAUUUUCAAGAACUAUGAAGCUGACAUGUCGAUCCUGGAUGAUUUUGACUUUUAUGAAGACAGACAGAAGGCUAUGCAAGAACGAAAGGCUAGACAGCAAGUGAGUCCAAUGGCUGCUGGUGUAGUUGGAGCAAAUGAGCACAGAAAUGCCAUUGCAUUAUCCAGUGAUUUAAUCAAGCAGAUGUCCAAGAGUUUUGCUCAAGUUGUCUGCUUGGAAGGGUCUAGCAAAGAAGGCCCUGUUACUGAUAAAGCCAGCUGUGUCUCAGAUAGCUCCAACAGAGUUAAGGCAGAAGAUGCAAUACCAGGCGUUUCUUCUACCAAGACAGGUUAGGAAGACAUCAAUAGGGUGAGAUUUGAGGGGGGCCCUGUUCUGACGGAUUGCGUUGGUGUAUCUGUACAUGAAUGAAAGGUGUUAUGAGUUGUAUGGGGCCGGUGUGGGGCCGAUGUGCUUCAUGUAUGAUAUGUGGGUUGAGAGUGUUGCAUUUUACCUGUAGUAAUGAGUUUUCUUGUUUGUUUCAUUGUCAUUGUCUUUGGUUUUUUGGGAAGAGUAGCGAUGGUAAUAUACUGGCUGAGAUCUUGCGUUUGUAAAACUAGCUCAACUUUUUAGCUUCAGGCAGUUGAAUGAAAGAAUACAACCGACAAAAGAUGUUGAAGCGCA